ACAGCAGCCGCCGCGGUAAUACGGAGGGUGCAAGCGUUGCUCGGAAUCACUGGGCGUAAAGGACGCGUAGGCGGAUUAUCAAGUCUCUUGUGAAAUCUAACGGCUUAACCGUUAAACUGCUUGGGAAACUGAUAAUCUAGAGUAAGGGAGAGGCAGAUGGAAUUCUUGGUGUAGGGGUAAAAUCCGUAGAUAUCAAGAAGAAUACCUAUUGCGAAGGCGGUCUGCUGGAACUUAACUGACGCUAAUGCGUGAAAGCGUGGGGAGCAAACAGGAUUAGAGACCCCGGUAGUCCCUGUCUCUUAUAC
This 305-nucleotide ribosomal RNA is filed under the name uncultured bacterium. RNAcentral's name for it is "partial 16S ribosomal RNA". It matches the Rfam family "Bacterial small subunit ribosomal RNA", at positions 508 to 807 of the family's 1533-position model. The record is from RNAcentral.